AUGAAUUGACGGGGGCCCGCACAAGCGGUGGAGCAUGUGGUUUAAUUCGAUGCAACGCGAAGAACCUUACCUGGUCUUGACAUCCACAGAACUUUCCAGAGAUGGACUGGUGCCUUCGGGAACUGUGAGACAGGUGCUGCAUGGCUGUCGUCAGCUCGUGUUGUGAAAUGUUGGGUUAAGUCCCGCAACGAGCGCAACCC
This 200-nucleotide ribosomal RNA is filed under the name Salmonella enterica subsp. enterica serovar Agona. RNAcentral describes it as "partial 16S ribosomal RNA". It matches the Rfam family "Bacterial small subunit ribosomal RNA", at positions 905 to 1104 of the family's 1533-position model. Lineage: Bacteria; Pseudomonadati; Pseudomonadota; Gammaproteobacteria; Enterobacterales; Enterobacteriaceae. The record is from RNAcentral.